UGGGGAAUAUUGGACAAUGGGCGAAAGCCUGAUCCAGCCAUGCCGCGUGAGUGAUGAAGGCCUUAGGGUUGUAAAGCUCUUUCGGCGGGGAAGAUAAUGACGGUACCCGCAGAAGAAGCCCCGGCUAACUUCGUGCCAGCAGCCGCGGUAAUACGAAGGGGGCUAGCGUGGCUCGGAAUCACUGGGCGUAAAGCGCACGUAGGCGGCUUUCUAAGUCAGGGGUGAAAUCCUGGAGCUCAACUCCAGAACUGCCUUUGAUACUGGAAAGCUUGAGUUCGGGAGAGGUGAGUGGAACUGCGAGUGUAGAGGUGAAAUUCGUAGAUAUUCGCAAGAACACCAGUGGCGAAGGCGGCUCACUGGCCCGAUACUGACGCUGAGGUGCGAAAGCGUGGGGAGCAAACA
RNAcentral lists this ribosomal RNA (402 nucleotides) under uncultured bacterium. RNAcentral describes it as "bacterial SSU rRNA". It matches the Rfam family "Bacterial small subunit ribosomal RNA", at positions 355 to 774 of the family's 1533-position model. The record is from RNAcentral.